GGCCACCAUCAUUCGGCAGCCCAUAUACUAAAAUUGGAACGAUACAGAGGGGAUUAUCAUGGCGCCUGCGCAAGGAUGACAUGCAGAUGCGUGAAGCGUUCCAUAUUUUU
Molecule: small nuclear RNA, 110 nt
Filed under: Cebus imitator (Panamanian white-faced capuchin)
Lineage: Eukaryota; Metazoa; Chordata; Mammalia; Primates; Cebidae
Source: RNAcentral